CGGCGGACGGGUGAGUAACGCGUGGGUAACCUGCCUCAUACAGGGGGAUAACAGUUGGAAACGGCUGCUAAUACCGCAUAAGCGCACAGUACCGCAUGGUACGGUAUGAAAAACUCCGGUGGUAUGAGAUGGACCCGCGUCUGAUUAGGUAGUUGGUGGGGUAACGGCCUACCAAGCCGACGAUCAGUAGCCGACCUGAGAGGGUGACCGGCCACAUUGGGACUGAGACACGGCCCAA
This 238-nucleotide ribosomal RNA is filed under the name uncultured bacterium. RNAcentral's name for it is "partial 16S ribosomal RNA". It matches the Rfam family "Bacterial small subunit ribosomal RNA", at positions 96 to 334 of the family's 1533-position model. The record is from RNAcentral.